AGCUCGCCCAAGUACAGUGAUGUUUACACCUAAUUGAUCACAACCAGUUACAGAUUUCUUAGUUCUUUCUCUACUCCCAUUGCUUCACUUGACUAGACUUAG
This is an unclassified non-coding RNA of Gorilla gorilla gorilla (western lowland gorilla), 102 nucleotides long. It matches the Rfam family "Y RNA". From Rfam's summary of the family: Y RNAs are components of the Ro ribonucleoprotein particle (Ro RNP), in association with Ro60 and La proteins. The Y RNAs and Ro60 and La proteins are well conserved, but the function of the Ro RNP is not known. In humans the RNA component can be one of four small RNAs -- hY1, hY3, hY4 and hY5. Lineage: Eukaryota; Metazoa; Chordata; Mammalia; Primates; Hominidae. The record is from Ensembl.